This 495-nucleotide ribosomal RNA is filed under the name uncultured bacterium. RNAcentral's name for it is "bacterial SSU rRNA". It matches the Rfam family "Bacterial small subunit ribosomal RNA", at positions 28 to 572 of the family's 1533-position model. The record is from RNAcentral.
AACGAACGCUGGCGGCAUGCCUAACACAUGCAAGUCGAACGAGACCUUCGGGUCUAGUGGCGCACGGGUGCGUAACGCGUGGGAAUCUGCCCUUGGGUUCGGGAUAACAGUUGGAAACGACUGCUAAUACCGGAUGAUGUCUUCGGACCAAAGAUUUAUCGCCCAGGGAUGAGCCCGCGUCGGAUUAGCUAGUUGGUGAGGUAAAGGCUCACCAAGGCGACGAUCCGUAGCUGGUCUGAGAGGAUGAUCAGCCACACUGGGACUGAGACACGGCCCAGACUCCUACGGGAGGCAGCAGUGGGGAAUAUUGGACAAUGGGCGAAAGCCUGAUCCAGCAAUGCCGCGUGAGUGAUGAAGGCCUUAGGGUUGUAAAGCUCUUUUACCCGGGAUGAUAAUGACAGUACCGGGAGAAUAAGCCCCGGCUAACUCCGUGCCAGCAGCCGCGGUAAUACGGAGGGGCUAGCGUUGUCGGAAUUACUGGCGUAAAGCGCGCGU